UAUGGAAAAGCAAAUGUAGGCAUGAGUAACGAUAAUGCGGGAGAGUAACCCGCACACCGCAAGACCAAGGUUUCCUGAUCAACGCUAAUCGGAUCAGGGUUAGUCGGGUCCUAAGGGUAAGCCGAACGGCGAUCUCGAUGGAUAAUCGGUUAAUAUUCCGAUACUAACAUAUACCUCGAUGGAGAGACGAAGGAACGUAAGUGCCGCCACCUGACGGAAUAGGUGGUUAAAGGGCGUAGAUAUAGGGGCAGAUUAAGAGUUAGUCCUUGCUGAAACCUGACAGUACAGAGAGCCUACGGGCAAUUUGAUAGUGCACCCAAGUCGACUUCCGAGAAAAUCUUCUAAGUUAUAGUAUAUGUUACCCGUACCGUAAACCGACACAGGUGGUCGAGGAGAGUAUCCUAAGGUGCUCGAGUGAAUCACGGUUAAGGAACUAGGCAAAUUAACCCCGUAACUUCGGGAAAAGGGGUCCCUAUGAAAGUAGGGCGCAGCGAAGAGGUCCAGGCGACUGUUUAUCAAAAACACAGGGCUCUGCAAAUUCGAAAGAAGACGUAUAGGGCCUGACACCUGCCCGGUGCUGGAAGGUUAAGAGGGGAUGUCAUCGCAAGAGAAGCAUUGAAUCGAAGCCCCAGUAAACGGCGGCCGUAACUAUAACGGUCCUAAGGUAGCGAAAUUCCUUGUCGGGUAAGUUCCGACCUGCACGAAUGGUGUAACGAUCUGGACACUGUCUCAACCGUGAGCUCGGUGAAAUUGUAGUCCCGGUGAUGAUGCCGGGUACCCGCAACGGGACGAAAAGACCCCGUGAACCUUUACUAUAGCUUAACGCUGAAUUUGGGUACACAAUGUGUAGGAUAGGCCGGAGGCUUUGAAGCGGGCACGCCAGUGUUCGUGGAGCCGACGUUGAAAUACGGCCCUUUGUGUAUUUGAGUUCUAACCCUGCGAAGGGGACACCGUUUGGUGGGUAGUUUGACUGGGGUGGUCGCCUCCAAAAGCGUAACGGAGGCUUCCCAAGGUACCCUCAGCACGAAUGGUAACCGUGCGCGGAGUGCAAUAGCAUAAGGGUGCUUGACUGUGAGACAUACAAGUCGACCAGGUACGAAAGUAGGGUAUAGUGAUCCGGUGGUUCUGCGUGGACUGGCCAUCGCUCAAAGGAUAAAAGGUACUCCGGGGAUAACAGGCUGAUCGCCGCCAAGAGCUCAUAUCGACGCGGCGGUUUGGCACCUCGAUGUCGGCUCGUCACAUCCUGGGGCUGGAGAAGGUCCCAAGGGUUCGGCUGUUCGCCGAUU
RNAcentral lists this ribosomal RNA (1286 nucleotides) under human gut metagenome. Its description in RNAcentral is "bacterial LSU rRNA". It matches the Rfam family "Bacterial large subunit ribosomal RNA", at positions 1281 to 2589 of the family's 2925-position model. The record is from RNAcentral.